CAGGCCAUCUGGCUGCUCUGUACCGGUGCCCGUGAGGCCGCCUUCCGAAACAUCAAAACCAUUGCUGAAUGUUUGGCAGAUGAACUCAUCAACGCCGCCAAGGGCUCCUCCAAUUCCUACGCCAUUAAGAAGAAGGACGAACUGGAGCGCGUUGCCAAAUCCAACCGCUAGGUGGCGCUGCGGGACCGCGGUGUUAAAGGGGCGCUGCGGGACCCCAUAGAAGUGGGGGGGGGAGUUGGGAUUUGGGAUCCCAUUAAAUUGGGGGAUUUGGGGGAUCCCAUUAAAUUCGGGGGGUUGUGGGGCUGCCCCCCAACUCGUGCCCCACACGGGGGCUGCGUCACCGCCCCCCCCCACCCCCCCCAAAGAAAAGA
Molecule: non-coding RNA, 371 nt
Organism: Meleagris gallopavo (turkey)
Lineage: Eukaryota; Metazoa; Chordata; Aves; Galliformes; Phasianidae
Source: RefSeq, a predicted model, not a curated record